GGGUCUGAUUUUUCUUCCCUAGCCUUCCACAUAUCCCACCCCAAUUGUCCACAUCUCUUAUCUUCUUUGGCUGCCCCAAAAGUCCUCUCCUUAUCUCACCUUCUUGGCUGCACUAGACAGAAAGUCCAGCCCUCUUUCUCUAUUCCUUUUUCUUUGUUUUUGUUUUCUUCUCUCUUUGCUCUUACACGACAGCCUCCCUCUCUCACCAAAACAAAAUAUCCCUCUCUAAAGAAGAAAUUAAAGGGUUAACACUAAAAUUUCAGCUUCAAAGGUUGGGUGUUACCAGUUCCCUAGGUCUAAGCUCCUUCGACUAUAGGCUCUCGGUUCCUCUGCUUUCAAGUAAAGGAUAAGUUAUAUGAGCAUUUGGUUAUGUCCUCUGGUGAUCUGAACUCAGCUAGUAGGGGUUAAUUACUGGCUUUCCAUGGAAAAAUGUUAUAUGUUUGGCCAUUUAAAGUAGAGGAAAUGAGGCUGCCCGUAACUCUAGGCCAUUUAAAGUAGAGGAAAUGGGGUUGCCCGUAACUCUAAUCUGAACAAGGCCUUCUCCCCAAUGCAUACGGACGGCGGGGAAGAAUAAAACCUUGAGGAGAUGUGCCAUCAAGCCUCUCAAAGAGGACAAUAUCAUGCACACGAGGUCACCCAAAUGUGAUGAAGUCUUCUCUGUACAGACUUAUCAGAUAUGGACUAACCAAUAUAUUAUGAACAACUAUGUUAUGUUAUUAAUCAUAAGAGAAUUAUUUUGUUUAAAUGCAUUGUGAAAAGUAAAAACUCUUAUGGUAAGAAGAAGUUUCUGAUGAAAAAGAAAAGUUGCUCAUUAAAGAUAAAAGUUUCUGAAAUUCUGUUGUGCUAUAAAAAUAAAGCUUCUAAUGAAAGUACAAGUUUAUGUUUAAAAGUUAUUAGAUACUUGUUCUUUAUGAAACGUUAAGUUUUAUGACUAUGAAAGUUAUAAUAUUUUUCGGGAAAAGGUUUAUAAAGAAAGGUUCUCUUAUUGGGUCAAGAUGUUUCUAGUUUAAUACAAAGUUGCCGAUUAAUUGAUUUAAGUUAAAAUGAUUAUUUUGUAAUAAGAAUAUAGAUAUGGUGACUUUGUAGGAAAUGAAAGAAGUUUAAUCCGAAAGGUUUUGAUAAUACUAA
This is a long non-coding RNA of Quercus lobata, 1128 nucleotides long. RefSeq lists it as uncharacterized. NCBI's taxonomy places the organism in Eukaryota, Viridiplantae, Streptophyta, Magnoliopsida, Fagales, Fagaceae. The transcript is spliced from 3 exons. The record is from RefSeq and is a predicted model, not a curated record.